GCAAAUGUUUUAUCAUUGAAACUGGAAUGACUGAAUGCUGUACAGAUUAUUAUAGAACAAAAUCAGAUUCAUGCAAACCUUGCAUUGGAUAC
Saccostrea cuccullata (small rock oyster) is the source of this 92-nucleotide long non-coding RNA. RefSeq lists it as uncharacterized. The record is from RefSeq and is a predicted model, not a curated record. NCBI's taxonomy places the organism in Eukaryota, Metazoa, Mollusca, Bivalvia, Ostreida, Ostreidae. The transcript has 3 exons.